UUCUCUUUUAGUAAGACGUUGUGAUCCAUUAGGAAUUGAUUGAUCCAUUUGUGUUAUCAAUCAUUGGGCUACCAAUAGUCUGAUAAUAUGAAUAUAUUAUCCGUUUUUCGAAAUGGAUUUAUAUCUAGUUAUGUACCCGAUCAACAACGGAUUCAUUUGGGAUACCUUUGGGACCCGUCUUGAAACACGGACCAAGGAGUCUAUCUAGUAUGCAAGUAAAUGGGAAUAUUUUGUAAACCUAUUUGCGUAAAUAACUUAACUGUUUUUAAAUGGGAUUACGAGUUAUAUUCUAAUACAAUGUACUCCUCCAUCCCGGGGUAUUUUCAUAAUAUAUAUGGGCAACUGUAUAUAGAAAAUAUACCAUGAGCAUACUGGAUAUGACCCGAAAGAUGGUGAACUAUGCCUGAUCAGGUUGAAGUCAGGGGAAACCCUGAUGGAGGACCGAAGCAAUUCUGACGUGCAAAUCG
Molecule: ribosomal RNA, 467 nt
Filed under: Apsectrotanypus sp. NZ08.Rest.T1
Lineage: Eukaryota; Metazoa; Arthropoda; Insecta; Diptera; Chironomidae
Description: eukaryotic LSU rRNA
Rfam family: Eukaryotic large subunit ribosomal RNA
Source: RNAcentral